RNAcentral lists this long non-coding RNA (12097 nucleotides) under Salmo salar (Atlantic salmon). RNAcentral describes it as "lncRNA (ENSSSAG00000106282.1)". The record is from RNAcentral. Lineage: Eukaryota; Metazoa; Chordata; Actinopteri; Salmoniformes; Salmonidae.
GCGAAAUAGGAAGCCAAUUCUAGAUUUAACUUUGGAUUGGAGAUGAUUGAUGUGAGUCUGGAAGGAGAGUUUACAGUCUAACCAGACACCUAGGUAUUUGUAGUUGUCCACAAAUUCUAAGUCAGAACCGUCCAGAGAAGUGAUGCUGGACAGGCGGGCAGGUGCAGGCAGCGAUCGGUUGAAGAGCAUGCAUUUAGUUUUACUUGUAUUUAGGAGCAGUUGGAGACCAUGGAAGGAGAGUUGUAUGGCAUUGAAGCUCGUCUGGAGGGUUGUUAACACAGUGUCCAAAGAAGGGCCAGAAGUAUACAGAAUGGUGUCGUCUGCGUAGAGGUAUAUCAGAGAUUCACCAGCAGCAAGAGCAACAUCAUUUAUGUAUACAGAGAAAAGAGUUGGCCCAAGAAUUGAACCCUGUGGUACCCCCAUAGAGACUGCCAGAGGUCCGGACAGCAGGCCCUCCGAUUUGACACAAUGAACUCUAUCAGAGAAGUAGUUGGUGAACCAGGCGACGCAAUCGUUUGAGAAACGAAGGCUACUGAGUCUGCCGAUGAGGAUGUGGUGAUUAACAGAGUCAAAAGCUUUGGCCAGGUCAAUGAAUACGGCAGCACAGUAUUGUUUCUUAUCGAUGGCGGUUACGAUGUCGUUUAGGACCUUGAGCAUGGCUGAGGUGCACCCAUGACCAGCUCUGAAACCAGAUUGCAUAGCGGAGAGGGUGCGGUGGGAUUCGAAAUGGUCGGUAAUCUGUUUGUUGACUUGGCUUUCGAAGACCUUAGAAAGGCAGGGUAGGAUGGAUAUAGGUCUGUAGCAAUUUGGGUCAAGAGUGUCACACCUCCUUUGAAGAGGGGGAUGACAGCAGCUGCUUUCCAAUCUAUGGGAAUCUCAGACGACACGAAAGAGAGGUUGAACAGGCUAGUAAUAGGGGUUGCAAUAAUUUCGGCAGAUAAUUUUAGAAAGAAAGGGUCCAGAUUGUCAAGCCCAGCUGAUUUGUAGGGGUCCAGAUUUUGCAGCUCUUUCAGAACAUCAGCUGAAUGGAUUUGGGAUCCUCAGUGCAGUGGGCAGUUGGGAGGAGGUGUUCUUAUUCUCCAUGGACUUUACAGUGUCCCAGAACUUUUUAGAGUUUGAAAAAGCUAGCCUUGGCAUUUCUAACUGCCUGUGUGUAUUGGUUUCUAACUUCUCUGAAAAGUUGCAUAUCGCGGGGGCAAUUCGAUGCUAAUGCAGAACGCCACAGGAUAUUUUUGUGUUGGUUAAGGGCAGUCAGGUUUGGGGAGAACCAAGGGCUAUAUCUGUUCCUGGUUCUAAAUUUCUUGAAAGGACAUGCUUAUUUAAGAUGGUGAGGAAGGCAUUUAAAAAAAAUAACCAGGCAUCCUCUACUGAUGGGAUGAGGUCAAUAUCCUUCCAGGAUACCAGGGCCAGGUCGAUUAGAAAGGCUUGCUCGUUGAAAUGUUUCAGGGAGCGUUUGACAGUGAUGAGUGUAGGUCGUUUGACCGCUGAACCAUUACGGGUGCAGGCAAUGAGGCAGUGAUCACUGAGAUCUUGGUUGAAAACAGCAGAGGUGUAUUUAGAGGGCACGUUGGUUAGGAUGAUAUCUAUGAGGGUGCCAGUGUUUGCGGCUUUGGGGUUGUACCUGGUGGGUUCAUUAAUAAUUUGUGUGAGAUUAAGGGCAUCAAGCUUGGAUUGUAGGAUGGCUGGGGUGUUAAGCAUGUCCCAGUUUAGGUCACCUAGUAGCACGAGCUCUGAAGAUAGAUGGGGGCAAUCAGUUCACAUAUGGUGUCCAGAGCACAGCUAGGGGCCGAGGGGGGUCUAUAGCAGGCGGCGACGGUGAGAGACUUGUUUUUGGAGAGGUGGAUUUUUAAAAGUAGAAGUUCAAAUUGUUUGGGUACAGACCUGAAUAGCAGGACAGAGCUCUGCAGGCUAUCUCUGCUGUAGAUUGCAACACCGCCCCCUUUGGUCAUUCUAUCUUGUCUGUAAACGUUGUAGUUAGGGAUGAAGAUUUCAGAGUUUUUGGUGGACUUCCUAAGCCAAGAUUCAGACACAGCUAGGACAUCCGGGUUGGCAGAGUGUGCUAAAGCAGUGAAUAAAACAAACUUAGGGAGGAGGCUUCUAAUGUUAACAUGCAUGAAACCAAGGCUAUUACGGUUACAUAAGUCAUCAGAAGAGAGCGCCUGGGGAGUAGGAGUGGAGCCAGGCACUGCAGGGCCUGGAUUCACCUCUACAUCCCCAGAGGAGCAGAGAAGAAUGAGUAUGAGGGUACUGCUAAAAGCUAUAAGAAUUGGUCGUCUGUGACCUCCAGAAUAGAGAGAAAAAGGAGCAGGUUUCUGGGGGCGAUAAAAUAGCUUCAAGGUAUAAUGUACAGACAAAGGUAUGGUGGGAUGUGAAUACAGAGGAGGUAAACCUAGGCAUUUAGUGAUGAUGAGAGAGAUAUUGUCUCUAGAAACAUCAUUGAAACCAGAAGAUGUCAUAGCAUGUGUGGGUGGAGGAACUGAGAGGUUGGAUAAGGUAUAAUGAGCAGGGCUAGAGGCUCUACAGUGAAAUAAGCCAAUAAACACUAACCAGAACAGCAAUGGACAUUGCAUAUUGACAUUGAGGAGAGGCAUGCUUAGCCGAGUGAUCAAAGGGUCCAGUGAGAUUCAGACAAGCUAGCCGGGCCAUAGGUAGCAAGCUGGUGGAAGAUGGAGGGAGGUCUGUUUUUAGCCACCUCGUGCGUUUCCGUCUGUGGGUUAGUGGGGUUUCGUGUGGAAGGGGGGAUCAGUCCAAGUUGGCAAAAUAGUUAGUUAUAGUGGCCCAAGAAAAGUGUCCAAUAGACCUAUUCAGAUCGCAGCCGAUAAGACAGCUAACGAUUAACGAUUAGUGGGCCGCAGAUGGGCGAUCAGGUUACGUCGCGACGGAGGGGCCAGUUGGAUAACUCCCUCGGACAGAUAACGUCGGUGGUCCAGUCGUGAAGGCCCGAUGGGGCUCCGCAUCGGCAGUAAAGCAGGUCAGGAUAGGUGAUUGUAGCCCAGGAGACACUUCAGCUGGCUAGCUCAGGAAAAGCCCACGAGUGGCUGACGGAACUCUUCAGCUGGCUAUCUCCGGAAUAAUGUGUGUUAAUUCCGGGACCGAUGUUGCCAAUAGUCACUCAGGUAGCAGCUAGUUAGCUGCAAGAUCCAGGUGUAAAUGUCCAGAGCCUGCGGUAGAAAUCGGGGAAAGGAGAGAGAAUAGGUCCGGUGUGCUCUGGUCUGAGUCGCGCUGUACAAAAACUGGCGAUAGCUUUUCGAGCUAAUGGAUAGCUGAGGACAGCUAACCGUGGCUAGCUGAACUCCAACGUUAGCCAGUGAAAAUGGCUAACCUCUGGCUAGCUUCUGUUGUGGAUUUCGGAUUUGAGACUGUAUCUCCACCCUCAGCCUCUCUGAUGGACUGUCUCCACCUUCCACCACUGUGCGCCAAAUACUCAAAAUGUGAAUCUGAAGGCUGGCACCCUGAGCCUGAGCUGGUGUGGCUGGACAGUAAAGGAGUCAAUCUCAAAUGUGAAAACUGUUCAAGAUAGUGUAGAGUUUUACUAGGCACUGAGGAAAAUAAGUUAGAAAUGCUUGUUGAGUUUAGUUGAACUUUUCUUCCCCAUCAAAACCAAGCAUGGGCCUGUUUAACUGAAAACAAACACUGUAUAGCCUCAAAACAUGGUUAAAACUAUAAUUUGUAUAUAAUAGAUGGUCAGUCCUUGCAGCCAUAGCUCCUAUAUGUGUAUGGUCAGUGCCAUCUGGGAUCCUUGGGACAUCCCUAUCCUAAACCAUAACCAAAUCCCUUACCUAACCUUAACCAUUUUAAAAUGUCAACUUCAAUGGGGUAGGGACAUCCAAAGGAAUCUGAAUAGCACGGACCAUAUGUUUAUCAUCUGAGAGCUGUAUCCAUGAAUAUUGGGCAGGGGACACAAAAUAAGAGAGACUGGUGUGAGAGAGACAGUGGCCUGACCAUAUAAUUAGAAUACUAUUAUGACAUAGCAUAACAGAAAAAAGUUUCAGAGGGAAAUUGAUCCAAGGCCUCUGAGGCCCGUAGGCCACCAGUUGCCCGUCCCUGACCUAGAGUCCUGAAAUUCUGUGCAAAGACCCACAAGGUCUGCCAUGAUGGAUUUUCUGCCAUUUUGAAAAACACUUAAAUGACAUCUCCUCCAGAACCACAGGGCCGAUCUGGAUUAAACUUGCUAAAUGGCCUUAACUUUUUUUUUUAAGUUUCACUAUUUAGAUUUUUACAAAAUUCACAUUCCUGCCCUUCCUCCUCUGAGGAGCCUCCACUGUACCGGCCAAAAUAAUGAGUAAAUGAGGGAUACAAAGUAUAUUGAAAAAAGGUACUUCUACAUAGGUGUGGUUCAAGUUAAUUAAGCAAUUAACAACAUCCCAUCGUGCUUUGGGUCAUGUAUAAAAAUUCCGGGAAGGCCAUUAUUUGGGGGGGGGGGUCACCACAGUCGAUCUACAAACACAUGGCCUAUUAGCUAUACAAUUAGCCGCUACACAUUAACUCAGCACCGGGAUUAAAAACUAGAAUUUAAUAUGUACAAAGGGAUCCGUUAGCAGAAAAGUAUUUUAUUAUCAAAAGUUAACAAAUAUGUAACUUCGUAGCAUCUGCUUGGAAGAAGUACUUCUCGCCCUGAUUGUAUGGAAACCAGUAGCAAUUGUGUGCAAUGUCAAUCUGGACACCACUGAAGUACAUGAAAUCCAUUCCCAACAUUACAGCAAGGGUCUUGGAAGGCAGAAUAACAGAAUGAAUCAUAUAGGAAUGGUUGCACAGGCAGAACUCCAACCGAGUGGUCGUUUAGCCUCAUUGUCAGCCAUAUACAAUGGACCUUCUGUCCGCGGCUUCAUGUUGUAUUGUGGACAUUUCACCUCCUGCCAUUGCUUCUCACUGAGAAGCAUGUAGGAUGACCCGGUGUCCAGGAUGGCUCUUCCUGUCCAAGAGCCUAUGUGCAGGGGUAACACCAGCUGGUGCGGUAUUGGCUGAAAGGAAGGGGAUGUCAAUGGGCAAGUGUAGGCAGUGCCUCUUGGGGUUUCAGCUCUAGUCGGAGCACCCAGACUUGAAAAAUUGAGGAGGGGAGACCCACAGUAUAGAGACCUUAGUGUGUUUCAAAAAUCAUCAAAGACUAAUUAUUUUAACCUAAAGCAUUUAAUAAAGACAUUUAUAGUACAAUAUUAUGGGGAAUGGGAAUGAGAGGGCUACUUACACUGUUGGAAAGGGAUCACAGCAGUGACUGAAUGAGGCAUGAGUUGGUGUUCAGAGGCUUGACCAGGACAGGAUUUGACUGGGAAGACAAAAAACAAUAAACACACACUACACAGUUAGACAAAAUAAUUAAGAAUGAGUUAGUCCAAGCAAGGAGUAAAAUCAUUGAUGCCUAAUAAUGUGAUUGUGUUCGUGUAGGUGAUUGACUCUACAUACAGUAAUGAGAGAAAAUUGAUAGGGGUACUCAGUGCUUGGAGGGGAUACAUUCAAUGUGCCAGUAGAUGAGCGGGCACAUGAUACGUGGCUUCAGUUCAUGUGAGGAGAGAGUUGACAAUGGUAGUAAAUCAGAGAACAGGAGGAGACUGACAUUCCAUUACAGCUGCGCCAUCGUAGGUUUGGACAACAAGCUUCUCCAUAAAGUUUAACUUGGACAUCUUAAAAUGAUUAAAGUCAAACACAGACUGCGCAUCUCGCCCACUUGACACAUCAAAGUAGCCCAAGAAACAUUCCUGAAUGAAGCCAUGUUCAUCCACAUACCUGACAACUGCAAGCAGACUGGUGGCAGACUGGUGGGGAAAUUUUUACCCCCUGGGGCCUGUAGUUUUUCCUUAUACGUUAACCUAACUAGGAAAACUCUGGACCCUAUAAGGUAUGACAGUGGUUAAUCAGUUGUAAAAAGGUUUCUGGGCUAUGUGAGUUAAAAAAAAACGACUGAAAAAACUCCUGGCCCUGGGGGGGGGGAUGAAAACCCUGUCAAACUGUAGCUACCUUAUAUUUGUUCAUAUAAAUUAUAUUUAGACUAGGAGGGGAGUUUCCUCUACCCAAACACAGACAACAACUGAUAGACAAAAGAACUCACAAGGCUGAGCUUGCUUUAUGCAUGUUUGCAUCAUGCAGGCCUAUGGAACUGUAGGCCUUCUAAAACAUUUACUCACAUCUGUCAUCACUAUUAUGUUGAUUGAUUAAUUCCAGUUAAUCAUUUGAUUGAAAACGUAUAGGCGGACUAGGACAGGGCGCAUGGGCUGUAUGCAGCUGCUCUUAUUAUUGGCCUACAGUUGAUCAGACUGAAAAAUAAUCUUGUUUUCAUCCCAUACAGCAUGUCAGAUUUCUAAUGUUUAGGUGUAGCCUAGGCUGCUGCAACGUUUAUGUAAUGAGUUUUUGCUUGUGUCUGUCUAGAGUGUUUAGGUGUUAUCAUCUUUGCUAAAUAAAUACCAGAGGAAAGUGCAAAGCCAGCACGCAAACAAAAUACGCUGCGUCAACCUCUCCUAAAAUCUAUCUUUUAAUGGAUGAUGCAAUGGAAGCUAUCGAAUCAUUGGAAUUGUUUGAUAUCCCAGAAAAGACAGUCAAAAGUUCGAUAUGUUCAGCAUGUAAAGCAUCAUAACAUUGCUCCUUGUAGUUGCCCUUGUUGGCGGAACUUUCCCCCUCGUCGUGUCCUCUAAAAGCAAAUUCUUGCAUGCCCAAAAAUGCAGUGGUGUUGAUCAGCUGCUUGAGAACAUCCCUGUUUCUUCUUACUUUCUCGUUGUUUCGCAGUUUGAAAACGCAGACUUUUAUCAUAGUCGAGGCAGCUUUUUCCCAGCUUGAAUCUGAUGUGGGCAUUUUUAUGCUCCCUGCUUUUGUUUUGCCAUUUAGCGGAACAAUCGAUAUUCGUCAGGUCACUGUACCCACCUUUUGAGGUGGGUACAGACUUUCCAAAAAGGCUCAGACUUUCCAAAAAGAAGGCAAGGCCAGCAAUACAGGUGGUUUGAUGAAAGGCUCCCUGUUAACCAGUUAUACUUUUGGUAUUUAAAAUGGUAUUGCUUUUAAUUUAAUAACCUUUUCCGUGUACCCCAGAGAAUGAAAAGAUUUCAACAAAAAGUCCACAACAUUUUCGGAAACUUUGGCAAUUCUACCAUUCUGGCAGAGAAAUUGCACACUCGCGCUGGUAGCUAGCUAGCUACUGAAGUUAGUGCAAUUUAUUUAAAUUUGCCUUGCUAACUGGACACGAAGUUCUAAAACAAAGAAAGCGAUUUAUAAUAUACCUCCUCCGUCUCCUAUAAUUUCAAAAAACUAAUUUGAAUUGAAUAAUAUCCCCCCCAAAAUGCUCAACUAUCUCUUCAUCUCAUCCAACAAUGUCACCAAGCUUCUCAAUACAUAGAACUCCCAUAAGGCUCUGUGGCACAAUCGCAAUACAACACACUAGGUUCAUUCUCUGAUCCUAAUUCUAUGAUUGGAUGGACAUGUCAGUUCGUACUGCAAAAGCUUUGAUUGGUUGUAGGACAUCCCCCGUAAGUGGUUAUACAGUGCCUUGCGAAAGUAUUCGGCCCCCUUGAACUUUUCGACCUUUUGCCACAUUUCAGGCUUCAAACAUAAAGAUAUAAAACUGUAAUUUUUUUGUGAAGAAUCAACAACAAGUGGGACACAAUUAUGAAGUGGAACGAAAUUUAUUGGAUAUUUCAAACUUUUUUAACAAAUAAAAAACUGAAAAAUCCACCUGUGUGUAAUAAACGGACCUCUGAGACUAUGACAGAGCAGGUGCAUUUAUACAGAGACUUGAUUACACACAGGUGGAUUCUAUUUAUCAUCAUUAGUCAUUUAGGUAAACAUUGGAUCAUUCAGAGAUCCUCACUGAACUUCUGGAGAGAGUUUGCUGCACUGAAAGUAAAGGGGCUGAAUAAUUUUGCACGCCCAAUUUUUCUGUUUUUUAUUUGUUAAAAAAGUUUGAAAUAUCCAAUACAUUUCGGUCCACUUCAUGAUUGUGUCCCACUUGUUGUUGAUUCUUCACAAAAAAUUACAGUUUUAUGUCUUUAUGUUUGAAGCCUGAAAUGUGGCAAAAGGUCGAAAAGUUCAAGGGGGCCGAAUACUUUCGCAAGGCACUUUAAUUACCAUGUCUGUCUAUGGAAGGGGGUGAGGCCUACGAUCCUCCUAGGUUUUGUAUUAAAGUCAAUGUAGCCAGAGGACAGAAGCUGGCUGUCCUCCGGCUACACCAUGGUGCUAGCCCAGACAGUGCUGUUGAAGUUACUGUAGACCUUCAUUGCAAAACAGUGUAUUUCAACUAGGGAUGCACGAUAUACAGUGGGGCAAAAAAGUAUUUAGUCAGCCACCAAUUGUGCAAGUUCUCCCACUUAAAAAGAUGAGAGAGGCCUAUAAUUUUCAUCAUAGGUACACUUCAACUAUGACAGACAAAAUGAGAAAAAAAAUCCUGAAAAUCACAUUGUAGGAUUUUUAAUGAAUUUAUUUGCAAAUUAUGGUGGAAAAUAAGUAUUUGGUCAAUAACAACAUUUUAUCUCAAUACUUUGUUAUUAUACCCUUUGUUGGCAAUGACACAGGUCAAACGUUUUCUGUAAGUCUUCACAAGGUUUUCACACACUGUUGCUGGUAUUUUGGCCCAUUCCUCCAUGCAGAUCUCCUCUAGAGCAGUGAUGUUUUGGGGCUGUCGCUGGGCAACACGGACUUUCAACUCCCUCCAAAGAUUUUCUAUGGGGUUGAGAUCUGGAGACUGGCUAGGCCACUCCAGGACCUUGAAAUGCUUCUUACGAAGCCACUCCUUCGUUGCCCGGGCGGUGUGUUUGGGAUCAUUGUCAUGCUGAAAGACCCAGCCACGUUUCAUCUUCAAUGCCCUUGCUGAUGGAAGGAGGUUUUCACUCAAAAUCUCACGAUACAUGGCCCCAUUCAUUCUUUCCUUUACACGGAUCAGUCGUCCUGGUCCCUUUGCAGAAAAACAGCCCCAAAGCAUGAUGUUUCCACCCCCAUGCUUCACAGUAGGUAUGGUGUUCUUUGGAUGCAACUCAGCAUUCUUUGUCCUCCAAACACGGCGAGUUGAGUUUUUACCAAAAAGUUAUAUUUUGGUUUCAUCUGACCAUAUGACAUUCUCCCAAUCCUCUUCUGGAUCAUCCAAAUGCUCUCUAGCAAACUUCAGACGGGCCUGGACAUGUACUGGCUUAAGCAGGGGGACACGUCUGGCACUGCAGGAUUUGAGUCCCUGGCGGCGUAGUGUGUUACUGAUGGUAGGCUUUGUUACUUUGGUCCCAGCUCUCUGCAGGUCAUUCACUAGGUCCCCCUGUGUGGUUCUGGGAUUUUUGCUCACCGUUCUUGUGAUCAUUUUGACCCCACGGGGUGAGAUCUUGCGUGGAGCCCCAGAUCGAGGGAGAUUAUCAGUGGUCUUGUAUGUCUUCCAUUUCCUAAUAAUUGCUCCCACAGUUGAUUUCUUCAAACCAAGCUGCUUACUUAUUGCAGAUUCAGUCUUCCCAGCCUGGUGCAGGUCUAAAUUUUGUUUCUGGUGUCCUUUGACAGCUCUUUGGUCUUGGCCAUAGUGGAGUUUGGAGUGUGACUGUUUGAGGUUGUGGACAGAUGUCUUUUAUACUGAUAACAAGUUCAAACAGGUGCCAUUAAUACAGGUAACGAGUGGAGGACAGAGGAGCCUCUUAAAGAAGAAGUUACAGGUCUGUGAGGGCCAGAAAUCUUGCUUGUUUGUAGGUGACCAAAUACUUAUUUCCCAGCAUAAUUUGCAAAUAAAUUCAUAAAAAAUCCUACAAUGUGAUUUUCUGGAUAUUUUUUUUUCAUCUUGUCUGCCAUAGUUGACGUGUACCUUUGAAUAAAAUUACAGGCCGCUCUCAUCUUUUUAAGUGGGAGAACUUGCACAAUUGGUGGCUGACUAAAUACUUUUUUGCCCCACUGUAAAUGGUUAAGCAUAUCGGAUUCGGACGAUAUUAGCUAAAUAUGCCAACAUCGGCUCUAUGUAUAGUUUAACGCCGAUGUGCAAAACCGAUGUCAAAGCUGACGUGCAUACCUACAUAACGUAGGUAGAUGACAUAAUAACAGCACGAAAAAUACAAUGCAACACACGCAACGCAGCAUUCCUAACCUAGCCCACAAUGUCUGCUGUGUGGAUCUGUUUUGAAGUUUCAAAGGAAAAUAACAAAAAAAGGCCAUAUGCAACGUUUGUGCUGCUAUUAUUUCCCAAGGAACAAUCAGUACAAAUCAGUGGACUCAUUGAAAACAUGCUCGACACUCCUAGCUCCAUUCGAACAACUGACUCGAGAAAUAAGCUCAUCAACUGUGUCUGCAGCAGACGUGAUACCCUCUGUCAUGGCAUUGAAAUGCCUGCUCAACAAAACUGCUGACACAGACCACGGGGUUAAAACUUGCAAAAGUACUCUACUAGAGGCUGUGAACAAGUGAUUCAGUGGCAUUCUCUCUGAGCCUCUUUACUGUGUCGCCACCAUGCUCGAUGCUAGGUACAAGGACCACUACUUCGAUGCAGAAAAGAAACAGGGUUUACGUGAAAUGUUACAGACACAGCUGGACAAGAUGGAAACGGACACAGUGACACUGCACACCGAGGGAGAGGACUCACGACAGAAGAGGCCACAGACAGACAGAGCUGAAACGUCACUGCUUGACAUGUAAGAUGAAAUCCUGGUUGAGAAUGAAAUGACUGAACAACGAAACAGCACAGCAAGUAAGUGAAAGAAAUAGGUUUUGAUUAUGUUUUACUGGUAAUGGGGACAUAAGUAAAUGCCAACAAAAUUACUUUUUGGUCAGUGUGUUUGUGUGUUUUAACUAUUUAACUGUACUAGAAUGCUUAAAAGGCAGCUAAAAAUGUAAUAUAUUUUUUGGCAAGGAAAAUAUCAGAUAUCGGUAUUGGCCAAAAAUGUAAUAAUCGGUGCAUCCCUAAUUUCAACCAAUUAUUUGGUGACAUAUGAAUAUGUUAAGUAUAGUUUUAUCUAAAAAGGAUAAAUUGUAAACCCUAGAAAGGCUGGAGCAACGAACCGCCCUUGCUGUCUCUGCCUUGCCGGUUCCCCUCUUUCCACUGGGAUUCUCUGUCUCUAACCCUUUUACAGGGGCUGAGUCACUGGCUUACUGGUGUUCUUCCAUGCAGUCCAUGGGAGGGGUGCGUCACUUGAGUGGGUUGAGUCACUGACGUGGUCUUCCUGUCUGGGUUGGCGCCCCCCCCCUUGGGUUGUGCCAUGGCGGAGAUCGUUGUGGGCUAUACUCGGCCUUGUCUUAGGACGGACCUGAGCCCUAGGACCAUGCCUCAGGACUACCUGGUAUGAUGACUCCUUGCUGUCCCCAGUCCACCUGGCCGUGCUGCUGCUCCAGUUUCAACUGUUCUGCCUGCGGCUAUGGAACCCUGACCUGUUCACCGGACAUGCUUGUUGCACCCUCGACAACUACUAUGAUUAUUAUUAUUUGACCAUGCUGGUCAUUUAUGAACAUUUUAACAUUUUAACAUCUUGACCAUGUUCUGUUAUAAUAUCCACCCUGCACAGCCAGAAGAGGACUGGCCACCCCUCAUAGCCUGGUUCCUCUCUAGGUUUCUUCCUAGGUUUUUGGCCUUUCUAGGGAGUUUUUCCUAGCCCCCGUGCUUCUUUCACAUGCUUUGCUUGCUGUUUGGGGUUUUAGGCUGGGUUUCUGUACAGCACUUUGCGAUAUCAGCUGAUGUACGAAGGGCUAUAUAAAAAUUGAUUUGAUUUGAUUUGAUUCUGAACACCUCCAAAACAAAGGUCAUGUGGUUUGGUAAGAAGAAUGCCCCUCCUUUCAUAGGUGUUAUUACUACCUUUGAGGGUUUAGAGCUUGAGGUAGUCACCUCAUACAAGUACUUGGGAGUAUGGCUUGACGGUGCACUGUCCUUCUCUCAGCACAUAUCAAAGCUUCAGGCUAAAGUUAAAUCUAGACUUGGUUUCCUCUAUCGUAAUCGCUCCUCUUUCACCCCAGCUGCCAAACUAACCCUGAUUCAGAUGACCAUCUUACCCAUGCUAGAUUAUGAAGACAAUUUAUAGAUUGGCAGGUAAAGGUGCUCUCGAGCGGCUAGAUGUUCUUUUUCAUAAACCCUUAAAACAACUGUGUUCUUUUGCAUUGGUUGUAUUGCCAAAAUAAAGGCUCAAACAAACUCAGCAAAAAAAGAAACGUCCUCUCACUGUCAACUGCGUUUAUU